AAUAUACGUGUUUUUUUACCAACUACUUUACACAAUAGUGUCAUGGCACUGUACACUCAACAAAACUUUAAAACGUUGAAAACAAACUAUAGAUUUACCACCCGAAAAUAGUCCUAUACUGUAUACAGUACAAUGCAAAUCAGCUGUUCUUUGUCUGACUUUAGUUUUUUUAACUAAAACUAUCUACACUGUUUAGUUAAAACUCAAAAAAUGUAUUUUAUGACUGUCAGAAAGACUGCAGCUGGAGGAGACGACGCUAAGUUUCACUUUCAGUUUCCGGCGGAGUGAUUAAACUGGCGCACCGCUGAUGGAAAAAGAGAAAAACAACGGCGAGACGUCAUUCAUUCAUUAAUUACAACCACCUGUGGGAAAAAGUCGGCGUCUUGACCAAACAAAGGGAAGGCAGCAGGACAGAGGUGAAACACAAGAACUCAGCUCAAGGAUCAACCAAAGGACGCCACUGGUUAUCAACCUAUAUAUCUUCUAUCUGUCUGAGAUGUAUUGCAUAAUUAAGCAAAUAUUUGGAUGAAGACUGAAAAUCAAACAGACAAGAAGAUUGAGUUGUCCCUUUGCAUCUUUUAUGAGUGAUCCAGGCCAUUUUCAAGUUUGGACAGAGCUGGCCUACUAGAGGACAUUGAAGCCAAUACAGCCGAUGGAGAGGAGGCAGAACUGGGCAAACGACAGGAGGCCAACCUGGAGAAACCAAUCAAUGACUGUGAGACGAGAUUGGAUGAGGUCCGCAGAAUAGUUCAAACCAACCUGUGGUCAAGAUAUGGACAAGAUGAACUGCAAGCUGCAAUCUGGGAAGCAGAGGGAGCUUGUGAUGAUGUUACUGCAAUACUGGUCUCUGCUGUGAAUUGGGAUGGCUAUGAGAUGCAACUGACUUUCAUGUUGAAGCUGGUCCAGGGGGCAACUAAAAGCCUAGCAGCGUGGGAGAUGUGGAUUCCAGCAACAGAAAAAGCUGAUCUAGAAGGCCAGGUGAUGUUUUUAAUAGGCCUCAGGACUUGGAGAUUAUGCCAGACUUCCCUCUCGCUCCUCCACACACACACACACACACACACACACACACACACUGUAAUGUUUGCAUCGAAAAUAAAAAUAAAUUGCCUAUCUAUUUAACUUGUAUCUAUGUGAUGUUUUUUAAUUAGUAUAAUGAAGUUACCCCUAAACACUAUCAAUUCAGACUCGUGUGCAGUCCCACUUUUGUAAUACCACCUGCCAUGUUAUAAUUUUUUCUCUAUGUGGCCUGUGGACUGCAGCCGUGUAACCUUGUAAGACGGAGUAAAGAUAUCUGUAAUUUGAGAUGACUUUGUUUUUACCUCGUGUUACAACAAUAACUAAGAUAAGAUAUCGUAUGCAUCGGGGGGAAAUUGAAUCAAAAAGAGUCAAAUAAACUGUUGCAUUUGUUUUAUUCAAUUGUGCUGUACAGAUGAAUUGAACCUGAGAAUAAACAUGCCAAACCAAUGCAUA
This is a long non-coding RNA of Dicentrarchus labrax (European seabass), 1470 nucleotides long. RefSeq lists it as uncharacterized. The record is from RefSeq and is a predicted model, not a curated record. Lineage: Eukaryota; Metazoa; Chordata; Actinopteri; Moronidae. The transcript is spliced from 2 exons.